This 375-nucleotide ribosomal RNA is filed under the name uncultured bacterium. RNAcentral describes it as "bacterial SSU rRNA". It matches the Rfam family "Bacterial small subunit ribosomal RNA", at positions 524 to 898 of the family's 1533-position model. The record is from RNAcentral.
UACGUAGGGAGCGAGCGUUGUCCGGAAUCAUUGGGCGUAAAGGGCGCGUAGGCGGCCAGCCAAGUCAAAUGUGAAAUACAGCGGCUUAACCGCUGGGCUGCGUUUGAAACUGGCAGGCUUGAGUACAGGAGAGGAGAGUGGAAUUCCUGGUGUAGUGGUGAAAUACGUAGAUAUCAGGAAGAACAUCGGUGGCGAAGGCGGCUCUCUGGCCAUGUACUGACGCUGAGGCGCGAAAGCGUGGGGAGCAAACGGGAUUAGAUACCCCGGUAGUCCACGCCGUAAACGAUGGAUACUAGGUGUAGGGGGUUAGACUCCCUCUGUGCCGCAGUUAACGCAAUAAGUAUCCCGCCUGGGGAGUACGGUCGCAAGAUUGAA